AGAGAUAGACCCUUCUUCGGACUCAUUACAAGGUGCUGCAUGGUUGUCGUCAGCUCGUGCCGUGAGGUGUCAGGUUAAGUCCUAUAACGAGCGCAACCCCUAUCGUUAGUUGCCAGCGGGUCAUGCCGGGAACUCUAGCGAAACUGCCGGUGCAAACUGAGAGGAAGGUGGGGAUGACGUCAAAUCAUCACAGCCCUUACGUCCUGGGCCACACACGUGCUACAAUGGCCGGUACAGAGAGCAGCCACUACGCGAGUAGGAGCGAAUCUACAAAACCGGUCUCAGUUCGGAUCGCAGUCUGCAACUCGACUGCGUGAAGCUGGAAUCGCUAGUAAUCGCAUAUCAGCCAUGAUGCGGUGAAUACGUUCCCGGGCCUUGUACACACCGCCCGUCAAGCCAUGGAAGCUGGGGGUACCUGAAGUCGGUGACCGAAAGGAGCUGCCUAGGGUAAAACUAGUGACUGGGGCUAAGUCGUAACAAGGUAGCCUA
This 489-nucleotide ribosomal RNA is filed under the name uncultured bacterium. RNAcentral describes it as "bacterial SSU rRNA". It matches the Rfam family "Bacterial small subunit ribosomal RNA", at positions 1002 to 1503 of the family's 1533-position model. The record is from RNAcentral.